GCAUUGGUGGUUCAGUGGCAGAAUUCUCACCUUCCAUGCGGGAGACCCAGGUUCAAAUUCCAGGCCAAUGCA
Molecule: transfer RNA, 72 nt
Filed under: Loxodonta africana (African savanna elephant)
Lineage: Eukaryota; Metazoa; Chordata; Mammalia; Proboscidea; Elephantidae
Rfam family: tRNA
About the family: Transfer RNA (tRNA) molecules are approximately 80 nucleotides in length.
Source: Rfam by way of RNAcentral